GACGAACGCUGGCGGCGUGCUUAACACAUGCAAGUCGAACGGAAAGGCCCUGCUUUUGUGGGGUGCUCGAGUGGCGAACGGGUGAGUAACACGUGAGUAACCUGCCCUUGACUUUGGGAUAACUUCAGGACACUGGGGCUAAUACCGGAUAGGAGCUCCUGCUGCAUGGUGGGGGUUGGAAUGUUUCGGCGGUUGGGGUGGGACUCGCGGCUUAUCAGUUUGUUGGGGGGGUAGUGGCUUACCAAGCCUUGGACGGGUAGCCGGCUGGGGAGGGGGACCGGCCAAAUGGGGACUGAGAUAGGGCCCAGACCCCUACGGGGGGCAGCGGUGGGGAAUAUGGAAAAUUGGGGCGAGGCCGGUGCAGGCACCGCGGGGUGGGGGAUACGGGCCUUCGGGUUGUAAACCGCUUCGGCAGGUGAGGAAGCGUUAGUGACGGUAAUGGGUAAAGAAGCACCGGCUAACUACGUG
RNAcentral lists this ribosomal RNA (468 nucleotides) under uncultured bacterium. RNAcentral describes it as "partial 16S ribosomal RNA". It matches the Rfam family "Bacterial small subunit ribosomal RNA", at positions 28 to 507 of the family's 1533-position model. The record is from RNAcentral.